CCAUCACGAUGUAUGUACCUUCU
Molecule: non-coding RNA, 23 nt
Filed under: Arabidopsis thaliana (thale cress)
Lineage: Eukaryota; Viridiplantae; Streptophyta; Magnoliopsida; Brassicales; Brassicaceae
Source: RNAcentral